RNAcentral lists this long non-coding RNA (2429 nucleotides) under Carassius auratus (goldfish). RNAcentral's name for it is "lncRNA (ENSCARG00000049959.1)". The record is from RNAcentral. Lineage: Eukaryota; Metazoa; Chordata; Actinopteri; Cypriniformes; Cyprinidae.
AUAUAUAUAUAUAUGGGGGAGGGGGGGGGUCCCGGAUUGUUACAUAUGUACAUGGGGGGGCCCCAAGGAAAAAGGUUGGGAACCACUGACUUACAGUAUAUGAGCUAUUUAGUUGGUUUAAGGUAGAUAUUGAGAUACAUGACGCGAGUGUCGCGUCAUAAAGCAAACAUUUAACGUUAAGUUAUAACGUUAUAUGCGACGCGACACUCGAUCGCCUCAUGUGUCCAUAAACUAUCAUGUAAAAUAAUAAAGACAAAAAAAAACAGUUUAAAUAAAUUAAAAAUCAGCAAUAACUGUGGAACCAAAUAAAUGAGAAUAAAAACUACUUUUAUGUUUUAAGGAAGCAUGGUUCAGCCCUGGACGAAGCCAUCGUCCAGCUACUGGAUUUCUGGAGGAACGCUUGCGAAAUGUCAGGAAGAGAACCCGUCGUGAAAACUGCACAAGCCGUGAGAAAGAGGAUUCUCAAGCCAUAAGCAGCACCUUGGUUAUACCAGGUAAAAAUUUAAAUUUGCUAUCUUUUACUAAAAGCAAGUGUUUAUUAUUUUGGCAAAUAUCCUUAAUUUUGUUGUUAAAAUUAUAUUUAUUUGUAGAGCCAAGUAUUUCACCUGACAGAGCAGUACAACUUGCAGAAUGGCUUAAAAAUAAUAUAUGGCCAGCUAACCAAGUUGCAGAUUACAUGAAAGAAACAGCCAUCCACAUGGCUCAGUGGAUAAGAGCUAACGGGACAAAAUCUAUCGAGGAAAUAACUUGUGAAUUCCCUCGACUCCUUGAUACGCCAGGCAUGAUUUCACAAGACUUCUCUGUAUUAUUCCCCGACCACGCAGAGAGACUUUUCCAAACUUGGAAAAUGAGUUUCAAAGACAAAAUCCUUUGCUUUGCCAGCCAGGAGAAAAAGGCGCAGGAGCUUCUCCAGAAUUUAGACAGUUUGUCUCCAGGUACAGUUGUGAAUGCAAGAACUAAUAGUUAUUCAUUAGAAUAAUGAUGACAAAAUAAUUAAUACAAAAUAUUAAUCUGCACAGAAGUCCAAAGUGACGUUGCACUCAGGCUGCUUCCUGUAAUACUGCCCACCCCUGUCUACAAAAAAGGGAUGAAAAUGUUCAAACCAAGCUUGGAAGAAAAUAUCAAGUCUUUCAUUGAAUUCAAGCAUGUAAGUAAUUUUGUAUUAUUACACAUCACGUGCAAACCAUACUAAGAGCAAAUUAAAAUGGCUUAACAUAUCAAGUGUUUAUAAAGUCACUGUCAUCCGCAUUAAAUUCUUUAUUUGUCAUUGCUUAGAAUCAGAAAAGAACUCCAAAAGCUAUAUACAGUGGCAAGAAAAAGUAUUUGAAACUAGAGGUCGACCGAUAUUGGAUUUUGCCGAUACCAAUAGCUAGGUUGGACCACAUUGGCUGAUACUGAUAAAUUAACCGAUAAUUUAAAAAAAAAACAGUACUUGUCACAGACACGCCAGGCUCCAGCACCACCCAAUCACAGCACGCACCAUCACCUGAGUACUAAUCACACUCACCUGCUCCUCAUCUACCUGCAAUCUCCCCAGCACUCAAAAGUCACACACACACACGCAGUCACUGUCCGGUCUCGUUCGCAACUAGGUCUAUACCUACCUGCUAACUCUAAGGACUAACCAUAUACCUGACUUACCUCUCUCCGGCGAUCUCCAGUGUGCUCCUGUUCCCAUUGUCUGUCUGUCUGUCUGUCUGUCUGUCUGUCUGUCUGUCUGUCUGUCUGUCUGUCUGUCUGUCUGUCUGUCUUCUUCCUCCUCCUCCAUCGUCUCAAGCCACCACCUCUCGGAUCAUCCCACCUUCCAAGACACCAGCACCGUAUCCUCUAGGCUUUUUCCUAAAUUCCAUUUUAUUUCCAAAUUCCGUUAUUAAAUUUUUCUGGAUUCUGUUUUUUUUUUUUUAAUUUUAGUCCACUCCUUUUUAGUAGUUAAAUUAAAGUUUCUUAAUCAUAAAGCAAGUCUUCAAUCUGCGUUUUCUGCAUUGCGGAAAACAUAGGGCCCUACAUUUAUCCCAGCACAAUGUAAACUCUCACACUUUAACUGCUUCUAUUCUUGAAUCAGUAAGUCACUAAAAGACUUUGUGAUUAUCUAAUCAAAAUAAAAGAGCAGCGCUUGAGUCAUAGGAGAACUCCCCGGUAUCACACACACUCCGGACGCGUCGCGUUCAACUCGAGCAGCGGUCUAAAAUGGUUUAUUUAUUCACCAAAUGGACACGAGUUUAUUUCAAGAAUGAACAAUGAGGCAAAGAGAAAUUUGAAAUUCAGUGUUUAAAAAACGAUAAAUCGGUCGACCUCUUAUUUGAACCCUUUGGAAUUAAUUGGUUUUCUGCAUUAAUUGGUAAUGUGAUUUAUAUAUUUCCUAUUAUGCAAACACAAAAGGAUAGCCUGUAAGACCUUUGUUCAUCUAAGAAACACAAAUGAAGAUAUAU